Molecule: non-coding RNA, 768 nt
Filed under: Tetratoma fungorum
Lineage: Eukaryota; Metazoa; Arthropoda; Insecta; Coleoptera; Tetratomidae
Source: RNAcentral
AUAAAGUUUUAUUUUGGCUUAAAAUUUAAUUUUUUAAUUUUUAUAUAUGUAAAUUUUUGUAUAAUAUAAAUUUAAAUAAUUUUUAUUUUCUUUGCAGUAUAAAAUUUUAAAUUUUAAGUUAUUUUAGAUUUAGAAAUUUAUUUUAGUAUAAACUAAGUUUGUGCCAGCAGUUGCGGUUAUACAAUCUAUACAAAUUAAAUUUAUUUAGUAUAAUUAAAUAAAUAAUUUUUAAUUUAAGAUAAAAUUUUUUAAGUGAAAUUUAAAAUUUUAAAAAAUUAUAUAAAUAUUUUUGAAGUUAAGAAAAUUAAUAUUAAACUAGGAUUAGAUACCCUAUUAUUAUAAUUGUAAAUAAAAAAACUAAAAUUAUUAAAAGUUAAAGUCUUUAAAAUUAAAAAUUUUGGCGGUAUUUUAGUCUUUUCAGAGGAACCUGUUUUAUAAUUGAUAAUCCACGAUUUAUCUAACUUUAUUUUUAAAUUUGUAUAUCGUCGUAGUUUGAAUAUUUUAUUAGAAAAUUAAAUAUUCAGUUCUUUAAAUUUAAAGAGAAUUCAGAUCAAGGUGCAGUAUAUAAUAAAGAAAAUAUGGGUUACAAUAUAAAUUAUAUUUGGAUUUUUUAUUUAAAAUAUAAAAUAAAUUGGAUUUGAAAGUAAUUUUUAAAAAAUUUUAAAAAUGAUUAUGCUCUAAAAUAUGCACAUAUCGCCCGUCGCUUUCUCUUUAAGGGGAAAUAAGUCGUAACAAAGUAGGCUUAUUGGAAAAUGAGCCUAGAAUUAC